UGAGCGUUCACCUCCUUCUUCCAUCAAUUCUUUCUCAUCCAAUGAAUUUGCAAACAUUCCAAACUGUGUGCUACCCCCAUCCUUAUCUCGGGAUUACGAACGAAUCUUGAGAAAACCAAAUUUUACGCAGAUUUACUCGCCUGUCGACUACCGCAGAUAACCGAAAAUGAUGUAUGACUUAAACCCCUCAGUCUUUAAACUUCUAGUUAUUUUUCUAAUUUUCUAUGGAUCUACGUAUCUCUAUAUCAUUGUCCAACUUGCUAUAUUUGUGCGACAUCGUAUUCCCGAAUACCUGCGUUUUCUUGUGUAGUUUACUUCAGGAAUUUAUGUGAUAAACUUGCAGAGAUUGGUUCGGUGAGAAAAUAUUUACGUCUACAUCGAAUGUAACAACAGUCGACACCGAGAAUAUCAUCUGUAUCACUUUCCGAAAGAAGACGAUGCCCUUCAUAAAGAAUGAACUUGAAAAGUUGGUAAUCACUUCCUAAAAUAUUAUGCCAGCGCCAUUUUAAGAAGCAUGGAUGUCCGUGUCGAUCAUUAUUUACCCGAAAUCAUCAAACAAAUCCAUAUAAAAAUACGAAUAGAUGAAAAAGCAUAAUGUAUCCGAUCAACCAACAUCUUUAUUACAAAGUAAAAGAGAAAGGGAAGAUGUACAAAAAAGACAGCUCGUUAUCAAAAAACAGUUGAUCAGAAAAGGAGGGCAAGAGCGAAAAGAGCGACAUCAAUGCUGCUACUAUCACUACCAACAGUAGCAAGAAGCGGUUGACGGUGGAGUAAAAUAAGAAGACGAAAUUGAAUUAUUUGUUAAUGUACCAAUGCUAGACUAUACAAGAGUAACAUCAUGAUUCGCUGACAACGAGGAUUCAAUUGAAAGGCCAACAAUUGAAUCACGGACAAGCUGCGACUUUUAAAUUGUGGAAAGCCUAGGGAGGACUUUCCGAGAAAUAGAAUUGCAAGAUGAACAUGCUCAGCUGUUGAAAGAAAAUAAAAAUUUGGAAGCACGAAUAAAAUAUGUCAAAUAAAAUCUCAAAAGAACCGAAAUGUCCAGAAAUCAAUUGCGUGUAAAGUUGAAGGGAUUGCAUGCCUUGAGGUGGAAUCAUUUAUGUAAGGUCAAAAUACAUGCUCAAGUUCGGAAAAGAAAAAGUUGCAAAAAGAUGGACCAAGAGACAGAAACAAAAAAAUAUA
Long non-coding RNA from Bombus terrestris (buff-tailed bumblebee), 1182 nucleotides. RefSeq lists it as uncharacterized. Lineage: Eukaryota; Metazoa; Arthropoda; Insecta; Hymenoptera; Apidae. The record is from RefSeq and is a predicted model, not a curated record. The transcript has 2 exons.